CAUUGGAUAGCUCAGUGGGUAGAGCGAUGGACUGAUAAUCCAUUUGUCGCGGGUUCGACUCCUGCUCCAAAUUU
Molecule: transfer RNA, 74 nt
Filed under: Methylococcaceae bacterium
Lineage: Bacteria; Pseudomonadati; Pseudomonadota; Gammaproteobacteria; Methylococcales; Methylococcaceae
Description: tRNA-Ile
Rfam family: tRNA
About the family: Transfer RNA (tRNA) molecules are approximately 80 nucleotides in length. Their secondary structure includes four short double-helical elements and three loops (D, anti-codon, and T loops).
Source: RNAcentral